This is a long non-coding RNA of Rosa chinensis, 509 nucleotides long. RefSeq lists it as uncharacterized. The record is from RefSeq and is a predicted model, not a curated record. NCBI's taxonomy places the organism in Eukaryota, Viridiplantae, Streptophyta, Magnoliopsida, Rosales, Rosaceae. The transcript has 2 exons.
UUGAAGCUAUAUAGUUAUUGAUGUUUGUCUUCUUCUUUUUUCCUUUUGGCAGAUGUGAAUUGAAUGUUCAGGUUAUUUGAGCUGCCGAUUAGCUAUGACUGUGACUAUGCUGAAUACCACAGUUUGCUGGAUUUUUAAUUGGAAUUGUUGGAGCAGCUCAAGUCAAGUAAGCUCAAACAGAUCAUUUUGAAAAAGAAGUUGGAACUGGAGCAUCCACCCGACACACUAGGUGCAGCUCCCUUAGCACUACACUAUGCAAGUAUGAGAGAACUUUAGUCGCAAAUAUUUGUCUAGCAAAGAUUUGUUUGUAUCAGCUUUUGCUAUUUUUCAAUGUUAGCUAGAAUGUAGCAGCUAUCAAGCUAGCUAGAAUGCCUUCUUUUUUGGUUUUAUGGUGUGGAUACAUAAAUGUAUAGAUGAUUGACAAAGGCUGCUAGCUCUUUUGGUACACUAGACGCUUGAAUUAAAGUACUUCAUUACAUAAUAUAUAUUGAGCAUUAUAUUUGUGCAAA